UUGCAAGUGCCAAUGUGCCCGUGGGAAAGGUGGAUGCACUCCUGCUCAUCAAGGUAGAGAAAGGCCCCACGCUGCACAUCCGCCUCCGUGCCACUGUCAUUCAGCUGCUGCUCAGCCUCUCCAGGGACAGACUCCAGUUCCCCGAUGUCCAGGUUGGGCAGUGCUGGAGUGAAACAGUCCGGCUCUACAACCCGUUCAACGCGCCCUGUGAAUGGUUCCUCACUGUCAACAAACCUGCCAAGAAGGUGAACAAAAGUUUGAAACCGGCUGCGCAUCAGAAGGAACUCCAGGCUGUGAAGGACGAUUCCCGUGUCUUUCAGUGGAAGGCCCAGGAGGGAACCCUCUAUGGUAGAGAGUGGUGUGACCUGCAGAUCCAGUUUUCCCCCCUGGAAGAGAAGUCCUACAAAACCGAGCUGAAGAUCAACGUUCGUGGGAACAGCCAGCUCCUCGUGCUGGACAUCUCAGGACAGGGUCUGGAGCCACGGUUGGAGUUCAGCCCCGCAGAGAUCAAGCUGGGAGCGGUGCUGCCGUGCAGCCCU
Molecule: long non-coding RNA, 539 nt
Organism: Corapipo altera (White-ruffed manakin)
Lineage: Eukaryota; Metazoa; Chordata; Aves; Passeriformes; Pipridae
Exons: 4
Source: RefSeq, a predicted model, not a curated record